This 240-nucleotide ribosomal RNA is filed under the name uncultured Achromobacter sp. RNAcentral describes it as "partial 16S ribosomal RNA". It matches the Rfam family "Bacterial small subunit ribosomal RNA", at positions 30 to 270 of the family's 1533-position model. Lineage: Bacteria; Pseudomonadati; Pseudomonadota; Betaproteobacteria; Burkholderiales; Alcaligenaceae. The record is from RNAcentral.
AUUGAACGCUAGCGGGAUGCCUUACACAUGCAAGUCGAACGGCAGCACGGACUUCGGUCUGGUGGCGAGUGGCGAACGGGUGAGUAAUAUAUCGGAACGUGCCCAGUAGCGGGGGAUAACUACGCGAAAGCGUGGCUAAUACCGCAUACGCCCUUUGGGGGAAAGCAGGGGAUCGCAAGACCUUGCACUAUUGGAGCGGCCGAUAUCGGAUUAGCUAGUUGGUGAGGUAAUGGCUCACCA